This 468-nucleotide ribosomal RNA is filed under the name uncultured bacterium. RNAcentral describes it as "partial 16S ribosomal RNA". It matches the Rfam family "Bacterial small subunit ribosomal RNA", at positions 28 to 507 of the family's 1533-position model. The record is from RNAcentral.
GACGAACGCUGGCGGCGUGCUUAACACAUGCAAGUCGAACGGAAAGGCCCUGCUUUUGUGGGGUGCUCGAGUGGCGAACGGGUGAGUAACACGUGAGUAACCUGCCCUUGACUUUGGGAUAACUUCAGGAAACUGGGGCUAAUACCGGAUAGGAGCUCCUGCUGCAUGGUGGGGGGUGGAAAGUUUCGGCGGUUGGGGAUGGACUCGCGGCUUAUCAGCUUGUUGGUGGGGUAGGGGCUUACCAAGGCUUUGACGGGUAGCCGGCCUGAGAGGGUGACCGGCCACAUUGGGACUGAGGUACGGCCCAGACUCCUACGGGAGGCAGCAGUGGGGAAUAUUGCACAAUGGGCGGAAGCCUGAUGCAGCAACGCCGCGUGCGGGAUGACGGCCUUCGGGUUGUAAACCGCUUUCGCCUGUGACGAAGCGUGAGUGACGGUAAUGGGUAAAGAAGCACCGGCUAACUACGUG